RNAcentral lists this ribosomal RNA (253 nucleotides) under uncultured bacterium. Its description in RNAcentral is "partial 16S ribosomal RNA". It matches the Rfam family "Bacterial small subunit ribosomal RNA", at positions 524 to 776 of the family's 1533-position model. The record is from RNAcentral.
UACGUAGGGACCAAGCGUUGUCCGGAAUCAUUGGGCGUAAAGAGCGUGUAGGCGGCUUGUUAAGUCUUGCGUGAAAUCUCGGGGCUCAACCCCGAGCGGUCGUGAGAAACUGGCAGGCUAGAGUGCGGGAGAGGAGAGUGGAAUUCCUGGUGUAGCGGUGAAAUGCGUAGAUAUCAGGAGGAACACCGGUGGUGUAGACGGCUCUCUGGACCGUAACUGACGCUGAGACACGAAAGCGUGGGUAGCAAACAGG